AAUUCUUGAUUCAUUAUUUCGAGAUCUGGCAAUGUAUUAGGAUCCGGACAUGAAGUCCACAUGCAUGUCAUGUUAUUAAAAUCUGCAUUUAACAAAACUAAAAAGAGAAUUAGAAAAUUAAGAAGAUUAAGAAAAGAGACAUAUUUUUUUUUACUUUUGUUCAAUUAUUUGAAGAUAAAAGGGUUUACAUCGGAAAGUAAGACAAUAAAGUAAAGACAUUUGUAUCACAACCUGAGAUAAUUCGGACGCAAAAAGGAUAGCAAGACUGGCAACUGAGACUCUGUCUGAUGGGGAACUUUCAGACUUGGCAACUAUUUUUUCGCUUUUCUUCUAUCUCGGCAAUAGCUUCAAUAUCCUUCAGUUCCGAAUCAAAUUCCUUAGCUUCACAAAUCAUUCCAACUAUUGGCCUGGUAUUGUGGGCAGGCAACAUAUUGUUCAUCACAUCAGGAGUUUCUUCAUCCUGAAAAAUAAUUCUUUCAGCUUCAAUCAAAUCCCCAACUACCCUUUUGAGGGUCCAACAGUCCUCUGUAUUGUGUCCUACUGCUCCAUAGUGGUAUUCACAGAUACGAUCAUCUCGGUGCGAGGGGGACUCAGGGUUCGGCCAGUUCAGGGCCACUGACUGCAAUAGAUCUAGCCGGAUUAGCUCUUAGAACAAGCUUGAAUAUGAUUCACCAAUAGGAGUGAACUAAUUCUUUCUGAAAGGCUCUCCUAGGCGAGGACUGUAUUGGGAAUCAUUUGGUUGAGGAUCAUAUGGAUCUUGGUAAGGAUGGGCAUUUUCUGGGAGGUGGUGCUUGGUUUUGUGUAUAAUAUUAUGGAGCAGUGUUGGAUUGCACGCCCAUCAUCGCACAUGGAGGCGGCGCCACAACAUAAGCAUUAUCUUGAAGGGGAUAAUAGUAUGGUGGGACCAUAAGAGGCACAUAUGACUUGGUGAAUGACCUACGGGCCCCUAGAGCUUGAAAUCAUCAUGACUCUCUUUUCACUCCCAUUUCUGUUUAUCAAAUCCUCCAAACCAUUAUGAGAAAACUGUGAUGUGGCCUUAAAAGAAGCAUGACUCAAGAUUCGACCCGUUUUCAAACCAUUUUCAACCAUUUCCCCAAUUUUGAUAGCCUCGGCAAAUGGCUUACCCAUAGCAGACAUCAUGUUCUAGAAGUAGUCAGCCUUUUAGGCAUGCAGAAAAACCGUGACCAUUUCAGUUUCGUCCAUUUGAGGCUUUACCCUAGUAGCUUGCUCACGCCAUUUGACAGCAUAUUCGCAGAAGCUUUCCUCAGUUUUCUUUCUCAAAUUAGACAAGGAAUUUCUGUCGGGAGCGAUGUCCACAUUGUAUUGGAACUGGCAGACAAAAUCGCGAGCCAUAUCAACCCAACCGUGCCAAUGAGUAAUUUCUUGACCCGUAUACCGCUCAGAAGCGAUUACGGUGAGGCUUUCCCCUAAAUAGGCCAUUAGCAGCUUAGUUUUUCCAUCAACACCCCUCAAUUGUUGUAGUAUAAUUUCAUAUGAGCAACCGGGUCUCCAUGCCCAUUAUACUUCUCAAAUUUUGGCAUCUUGAAGCCAACUGGCAGGUGGACAUGGGGACGCAUACAAAGGUCAGAGUAUGACACACUCUUUUUACCACUCAGACCUUGCAUGUUUUUCAGGCUUUGUUCCAGUCUCUUCAUCUUUCAAGCCAUUUCCUUUUGCUUGGCGUUUUUAACAACUUUUCCUUGCCUCGCUGAGAGAUCAUAUCGCGAAGGUUGAGUGAAAGAGUAUGGGGUCACAUUUGUUAUUUUUGGUUGGAUCUGUGGACUCUGAAAGAUGAACAUUGGAGGCCAUGCCCUGGAAGCCGGUGCCUGGGGGCGAACCACAGAAGGAAUGACAUGAUCAUUGAACGACAUUGGAGGGUGCCCGCCUGGGAUGAGCGAGUUGGGCAUAGGGGUGUUGGUAACCUCACUUGACCUAGGGAUCAACUCAGGAACCUAGGGUUUGCACUUGGCGGUUCCCUACCAUUAGACCAGGCGUCCCACAUUUCCAUGAUGCGGAGAUGCAAUAUCUUAUUCUCUUUAGCAGCUGCUGAUUCUAACUAUAGAAUAGCCGAUGCUGGGUUAUCCUCAGGACCAAUGAUUGGUAGAUUACUUGCGGAGGCCAUCUGUGCCUUUUGAUUUUGUGAGGGAGGGAAGGCUAGACUACCAACAAAACCAACCGCCAAAACCUGACUAGUUUGCACAUCUAACAACCUUGUUAGUUUUGAAACAUUUAACAUAUAGAAAAUCGCACGUCGGGAUGCAAUGCACCUAACAGUUAAACGCUUCUACCGUGUGUUUGAACGGUUGCAUGUUUCAUCCCAGAUUUAACUAGCCCUUUUCACUCUAUACCUCUUUUCUUCAUUCCUGUCUCUCUUAAAUCAUUCUUGAUUUUUUCUUCCAUCUUGUUUUUGCCGCUCUUUUAUUUUUGCACUUUCUUUUUCUCUAUUUGUUUGUCACUAUUUAUUUCUUGUUGCUCUUUUUUUCACUUUUUCUUUCUUUUUCACUCAAUUUUUUUUCAGUUUAUUUUUCACUUAAUUUAUUUAUGGCUAUGAUCGAAUCCGAUGGGGAUUGCCAACGUAUCAUGACCCCGCAUGAAUUAGAUCUUGUGUAGUUCGGGAAGAUCGAUAAUGGAGUAAAUAAACUAACUCUUUUUUGGGGAAGUUGUUGAAAGAAAUGUUUUAAAAGAAGAAAGGAAAUAUUUUUUGAUUUUUCGAUUUUGAUUUUUCUUUUAUAUUUUGAAAGAAAGUCUUCUAUUCAUUUUCUUUUGAUUUGAACUUUGAAAAUUUUAAAAGUAAAAAAGAAAAAUAUUUUGUUUGAAUUUUUAUUUGUUUUCUCUUUUUCUAAAGAAGCAAGAAAAAUACUUUUGGCUUUUCGAUGUUGCCUCUUAAUUUUCUAUAGAGAGACUUUUAAGAAAGAGUUUUGGAUUAUUGAGUUUUUAUUUAUUUACAAAAGUACUUCUAAAGAAAAACAAAAAUAUUUUUUAGACUUCAAUUUUUCAAAAUUUUUAUGGCCAUUUACAAAAAAAAAGACAUCUAAAGAGUAUUUUACGGAUUUUUGUUUCAGAUGGUUUUUUUUCUGGAAAAAUACUUCAAAAGGAAGGAAACGCGUACUUUGGAUUUUGAUUUUUAUUGAUUUUUCUUUUUCGUAUGAAAGGCAUUUGAAAGAAGGAAACUAUUAUUUUUAGUUUAAAAACUAUUUUUUUUUUAAUUUUCCGAGGAAAGAUUUAUACAGAAGGAACUAAACAAAAAAAAUUUGGAUUAUUUUUUAAAAUUGGGGUCGAAACUGAUGAAGUUUGCAUACGUAUCUCACAUCCGGUGAAAAUGAGACCCGCGUAGUUUGGUCAGUUUUGAUGGAACUAGGAAAACGUGGCACUUGAAAUUAUUAUUAUUUUUGGCUCAUUUUGAAAUGACUUUUCUUUUUUCAGAAUUUCAAAAUUUUCUAAACCUACCUCUUACCUUCUUUUUUCCCCGUUUUUUUAUUUUCUUCCUCUAUUCUAGAAGUCGGUCAACAUACAGUCGAACAAACAAUGCGCAAGUAGCAUGUAAGAUGUAUCAGGAUGGCCUUUUUAAUUUGGAUACACCUGUUCUAGACAAACCCAACCCAUGUGUUAAGUUUCCAAAGUCAAAUGGACGUGAUGCAAACAAACGUUCCUACUAGGGAUAUGGUAUGAGCCUUUGUUAUACUAGGUUUAAAAUCUGAGUUCAUUGUUCUAGAACUGACUUACCCGAGCGGACAACUCAAGCCGAGAGAGGGGCGGCGUACGAAAAUACAAAAGCUUCGCCGGCUUAGCAACUUGUCCGAACCUCGUUCUAAAUGGAAUAAAACUCUAAAUAGAAGAGAAGGCACACAAAGUACACCCUUCUCCAUGAUGUAGAAGACUCACAGACAGAAAGAGUUUCGUACUAGUUUAUAUAUACAAUUCAACAAAUAUCAAAGCGGUAAAGUAUUUAACACUUUUUAGCAUGAAACAUGUAGGAAAAUCAUAUAAUAGAUAACCAAUCAUAAUAGCUAUUCUAAGAUCGAAUUCUUGAAACCUAAACUGAAAUUCUGGGUUCAUGUCCCCAACACAGUCGCUAGAGCUGUCACGCCUCCUUUUUUAUACACCUACCUCAGGGAUAAUGUAUAAGGGAGUUUUUUCAGUUUAAGUGACAUUAUUCGAAAUGGAAUUAUUUAUUUGUCAGAGUCCCCACUUGGGAUAGUUUAUUUGGUGUCCCAAGUCACCGGUUUAUUUUGAAUCCCAAAUCGAAAAUUUUUUGACUUUCCUUAUGAAAUCUGCGAACCAGAAACUCUGACUAAGGAAUUUUGUUAAUCCGGGGAAGGUGUUAGCCACCCCCAGAUUCCGUGGUUCUAGCACGGUCGCUUAAACUAUUACAAUUGGCCUAUUAUCUGAUUUUAAUACAUGUUUACCCUAUGGUGUAAUGUUAAAUUAUGUACCGCUUCUAAUUAAUUUUAAGGAAGAUUAAACGUCGUUUAAAACAUGUCUUUGGAUCGCUUCACAUGAACGCAUUUUUUUGGGAUUUGGAUCUAGGUCACAUGAAAUGUGCACCCGGGUUUAGGAAGUUAAUAGUAUUAAAAUAACGUGCCUGAAGCAACUACGCAUUAUUAAAUUUGCAAGAGCCGUGAAAAUUUGCUAAUGGCACGCCUCGAUUUCUAAAGAGUUAAAAUUAAUGAAAUGAGGUCCAUGAGUUUUGAAAAUUUAUUUGGUAUGGAACGUUUAGACUUAUUCUAACAAAAGGGUUAUAUAUUUUAAAAGGAAAUUAAAGGUGCUCGUAUUUUAAUCUAAUUUUAAAAAAAAAAGUUAUCGCAACCACAUCACGGGAAUAAUACCCAUAAUUGAAAUAAUAUAAUUGCGCCUACAUUAUUAUACAAAUAUUCAUAAGUCAAUUUGUUUUUCUAACUUCCUAUGAAAUUCGCUGAAGGUCAUACUAUGUGACAGAAGAAAUGUCGAAGUCAUCAAUCGACAUAUUUAUAUGACUAAAGGUGAAAAUGCAUUCAAUGCAAGUCACAAACUCAUUGAAUUUGGUCUUUGGUUCACGAUUUUAAAAUAUGACAUAGCUCAUGUGAUCUCAAACCAACAACAACAAUUAUUUAAACUUAAAAGAGAUCAAUCAGAAAUGUUUUGUCAAAAACUAACAUGUAUUACUUUGUGAUAAAGAUUCAGAAUGUUUUUUUUACAUUGAAACUAUAUGUAUGGUCAUGGAUCUUAAAUCGGUAUUUGAAAUCUGUCACAUUUUUUUUCCAACACAUUGAAAGACCGCAGAUGGCAUUGGGUGCGGCAGUAAUAAACUCUUUUACUAACAAUUUCCGCAGAAGAACUUUAAAUAUGUUCACAUUAGUGUAGCUACACCUAAAUCGAACUUUGUUUAUAGCUCAUGAUAUCACAAAAUCAACAACAACGACCAUUUAAAACUCAUCAUGGGAGCAGAAGAUUUCAGAUUUUUAUUCAAACUUAACGUCAGAUAUAAAGAAGACCUUUAUCAAACACAUAGGUGAACAAAUAUUGUAUAUAUCAUAACAUUACAGCAUCCAAACGAUAACUACAUUACCGAAGAUUGAAAUUGGUACCUCAACAGCAGUACAAACUGCAAUUAGCCAAAUAAAGGCAAGAGAUAAAGAGCAGGCACAUCAAUCCAGUGAAAUAGCCAAGUAGCUCCAAUUACUGACUAGAUUCAGUUUGAAAACCCAGGAAAGCGAUGUAGGAGAUCUCUUUGAAUCGAAAAACACAAACUAAUUAUUUUUGAGUGUAGAAAUCAACUCUUAUUCUAUUUUUUUUGAAGCUGGACAUUUCAGAUUUUAGAAAGGAAAUUUUUGACUUUCAAAAUCUGUUUUCAGAUGUUUCUCGCGUGUGUGUCAAGAUGUGUGCCUGUGUGAUUUUGUGAAGGGAUCUCAAAAUCAGAGAGGAGAUUGCUGAUUUUUACGGAAAAUGGAGGAGAAACUUUUUCAGCUCUCCAAACGUGCCGCCUCUGUAUAUUUUCAGAGGAAGGUCCCAAAAAUCUCUUCUCCUCCUUUUUAGGUGUAGG
RNAcentral lists this long non-coding RNA (6019 nucleotides) under Nicotiana benthamiana. RNAcentral's name for it is "long non-coding RNA (NBEN_LNC039696)". Lineage: Eukaryota; Viridiplantae; Streptophyta; Magnoliopsida; Solanales; Solanaceae. The record is from RNAcentral.